RNAcentral lists this transfer RNA (67 nucleotides) under Marmota monax (woodchuck). Its description in RNAcentral is "tRNA.Ala". Lineage: Eukaryota; Metazoa; Chordata; Mammalia; Rodentia; Sciuridae. The record is from RNAcentral.
GGUUGUAGCUCAGUGGUAGAGCACUUGGCUAGCAUGUGUGAGGUACUAUGUUCAAUACUUAGCACCG